AUUGAACGCUGGCGGCAUGCCUAACACAUGCAAGUCGAACGGGCUGUAGCAAUACAGUCAGUGGCGCACGGGUGCGUAACGCGUAGAUAAUCUACCUCUCAGUGGGGGAUAACUAGGGGAAACUCUAGCUAAUACCGCAUAAGACCACGGAGUCUUCGGGCUUUGAGGGAAAAGGCGGCCUCUGAAUAUGCUGUCGCUGGGAGAUGAGUCUGCGUCCCAUCAGCUAGUUGGUGAGGUAAUGGCUCACCAAGGCAAAGACGGGUAGCUGGUCUGAGAGGAUGAUCAGCCACACUGGCACUGGAACACGGGCCAGACUCCUACGGGAGGCAGCAGUGGGGAAUAUUGGGCAAUGGGCGGAAGCCUGACCCAGCCACGCCGCGUGAGUGAUGAAGGCCUU
This 397-nucleotide ribosomal RNA is filed under the name uncultured bacterium. Its description in RNAcentral is "bacterial SSU rRNA". It matches the Rfam family "Bacterial small subunit ribosomal RNA", at positions 30 to 418 of the family's 1533-position model. The record is from RNAcentral.